UCGGGUUGUAAACUCCUUUCAGCAGGGACGAAACUGACGGUACCUGCAGAAGAAGCCCCGGCUAACUACGUGCCAGCAGCCGCGGUAAGACGUAGGGGGCGAGCGUUGUCCGGAUUUAUUGGGCGUAAAGAGCUCGUAGGCGGCUUGGCAAGUCGGAUGUGAAAUCACCAGGCUCAACCUGGUGUCGCCAUCCGAUACUGCCAUGGCUUCGAGUCCGGUAGAGGACCGUGGAAUUCCUGGUGUAGCGGUGAAAUGCGCAGAUAUCAGGAGGAACACCGAUGGCGAAGGCAGCGGUCUGGGCCGGCACUGACGCUGAGGAGCGAAAGCGUGGGGAGCAAACAGGAUUAGAUACCCUGGUAGUCCACGCCCUAAACGUUGGGCACUAGGUGUGGGGCCUCAUUCGACGGGCUCCGUGCCGGCGCUAACGCAUUAAGUGCCCCGCCUGGGGAGUACGGCCGCAAGGCUAAAACUCAAAGGAAUUGACGGA
Molecule: ribosomal RNA, 487 nt
Filed under: uncultured bacterium
Lineage: Bacteria
Description: bacterial SSU rRNA
Rfam family: Bacterial small subunit ribosomal RNA
Source: RNAcentral